UCCCCCUGACUGACACAGGGGGCCAAGCGCAAUGACAAACGCCGCAGCGAGGGACCAAGAUCAGCGACGCGGAAAAACAGAGCGUAAACCACACACAUAAGCAAGCGACGAAACCUGGAAUGUCCGGCCUUACAAGCCACACAACACAGGGAUUUGCAGGCUUGCUCCACCACAAAGCUUCCGCUGUCCGCCGUCUCCGGGAGGAACGUGGCACCAGCCGCGCGGCGCGGGGCAGAGCUCGGCGGAGGCGGGUNNNNN
RNAcentral lists this long non-coding RNA (258 nucleotides) under Hordeum vulgare. RNAcentral's name for it is "long non-coding RNA (HVUL_LNC004828)". The record is from RNAcentral. Lineage: Eukaryota; Viridiplantae; Streptophyta; Magnoliopsida; Poales; Poaceae.